GACACCUCGUGAGGAGAGGAGCCUG
This 25-nucleotide non-coding RNA is filed under the name Rattus norvegicus (Norway rat). Lineage: Eukaryota; Metazoa; Chordata; Mammalia; Rodentia; Muridae. The record is from RNAcentral.